GACGAACGCUGGCGGCGUGCUUAACACAUGCAAGUCGAACGGUGAAGGCCGGACCUUCUUCACUCCGUAACUGUGGCGCACGUGUGUGUCACACGUGCGCACUCCCCCUCGCUCUCUGAGAUACGCGUUGGACACGGCCUCUUAUACCGGACGCGACGCGUCCGCGUAUGCUCUCUGUGUGGAGAGUUCUUCGGUUCGGGAUGGGCUCGCGGCCUAUCAGCUUGUUGGUGAGGUAACGGCUCACCAAGGCGACGACGGGUAGCCGGCCUGAGAGGGUGACCGGCCACACUGGGACUGAGACACGGCCCAGACUCCUACGGGAGGCAGCAGUGGGGAAUAUUGCACAAUGGGCGCAAGCCUGAUGCAGCAACGCCGCGUGAGGGACGACGGCCUUCGGGUUGUAAACCUCUUUUAGCAGGGAAGAAGCGAAAGUGACGGUACCUGCAGAAAAAGCACCGGCUAACUACGUG
This 470-nucleotide ribosomal RNA is filed under the name uncultured bacterium. RNAcentral's name for it is "partial 16S ribosomal RNA". It matches the Rfam family "Bacterial small subunit ribosomal RNA", at positions 28 to 507 of the family's 1533-position model. The record is from RNAcentral.